RNAcentral lists this ribosomal RNA (301 nucleotides) under uncultured bacterium. Its description in RNAcentral is "partial 16S ribosomal RNA". It matches the Rfam family "Bacterial small subunit ribosomal RNA", at positions 509 to 807 of the family's 1533-position model. The record is from RNAcentral.
CAGCCGCCGCGGUAACACGAAGGGGGCUAGCGUUGCUCGGAAUGACUGGGCGUAAAGGGCGCGUAGGCGGUCACGAUAGUCAGAUGUGAAAUUCCUGGGCUUAACCUGGGGACUGCAUUUGAUACUGUGUGGCUUGAGUGUGGAAGAGGGUCGUGGAAUUCCCAGUGUAGAGGUGAAAUUCGUAGAUAUUGGGAAGAACGCCGGUGGCGAAGGCGGCGACCUGGUCCAUAACUGACGCUGAGGCGCGAAAGCGUGGGGAGCAAACAGGAUUAGAUACCCGAGUAGUCCCUGUCUCUUAUAC